This 129-nucleotide non-coding RNA is filed under the name unidentified. The record is from RNAcentral.
AUUGAAUAGCAGUUUUCUGGUUGUCCUUUGGACAUAACAAGGAAGUCCGGUGAAAUUCCGGCACGGUCCCGCCACUGUAAAAGUCGUAAAGACUUAAAGUCAGAUACUUACCAGUUAACCCAGUAUCAC